AUGAAGUCAGCGACACAGGUGUGCCAAAGCACAGUGACACGUCCAGGCGUGAUGGCCAUGGCAGUGGACUGUAUCGUGAAAUUGGGCGGCAGUGCGCUGACGCAGAAGAAUCAGCUGGAGACUCUACGAGCGGAGUCCUUGGAGCGAGCGGCUGCAAUUGUAUCUCGGCUCUGCGCAGGAGAGAGGCGAUGCAUUGUCGUACACGGGGCAGGUUCUUUUGGACAUUUCCAAGCAAAGGAAUAUGGUGUUGCUUCUGGAAUAUCAGCAGGAUCAGCUGCAAAUGACAGUUUGAGACAAGGACUGUGUCUGACCAGGCUUUCUGUCACCAAGCUGAACCAUUUGGUGACAGAACAGUUGGUAAAAUGUGGUGUUCCGGCAGUGGGCAUUUCGCCUUUUGGAGCUUGGAAAACAAAAUGCAAGAAAAUCAGUCAGGUUGCCAUCGACACAGUGAGUGACGUUCUAAAUUCAGGUUAUGUGCCAGUUUUACAUGGUGACUGUGCUCUUGAUGUAGAACAGCACUGCUGUAUCUUAUCUGGAGAUACAAUUAUUGAGGUUCUCGCAAAUAUAUUCUCUCCUAUGAGAGUUGUGUUUCUCACAGAUGUGAAUGGGAUUUACAGCUGUCCACCUGACAUCCCAGGAGCUAGACUUGUGGAUUCCAUUGUCAUUGGCUCUGAUGGAAAUAUGGAGCCACCUGUGCUCACAUCUGCACUGCCACAUGAUACUACUGGAGGUGUAACCUUGAAGUUACAAACUGCUGUAAAUAUAGUAUCCCGGAGUCAUGGAGCCAUUCCAGUUCUGAUCUGCAAACUAGACAGUGAAGCAGCAGAAAAGGCUUGUCUGACUGGUGAACUGAAGGAAGGUGAAGGCACAAAAAUUUUCUUCAAGGAAGCAUGAAUAUAUUCCUGGCAAGAAAUUUAAUGGAAGAAGGAUUUAACUGGGACUACUAAUUAGACAUCAGAACCCAUUCUACUAUAUAUACUUGACCAUCAUAAUCUGUUUCUGAUGCCUUAAACCAGCCUUCCCCAAUCUGGUAUAGUUCUGCUGGUAUUUUUUAACUACGGGUUCCAUCAGCCUUUACAGAUAUGGUUGUACUGGCUAGUGCUAAAAGAAAUUGUCAUCUGAAAGCAUCUGGAGGACAAAAACUUCAAGAAGCCUGCCUUAAACUAAUUCAUUACAGUCUUCACAAUAAUGAGUGAUGAGAGCUAGUGAAAGUUAAUGCGAUAGUAGUGGUCAGUGUCACCUACUUUAAAAAAGUGAUUCUAAGCUGUGCAACACAAAUAAAUUAUCAUUACUGUCACA
Salvator merianae (Argentine black and white tegu) is the source of this 1299-nucleotide long non-coding RNA. The record is from Ensembl. Lineage: Eukaryota; Metazoa; Chordata; Lepidosauria; Squamata; Teiidae.